RNAcentral lists this ribosomal RNA (377 nucleotides) under uncultured organism. RNAcentral's name for it is "partial 16S ribosomal RNA". It matches the Rfam family "Bacterial small subunit ribosomal RNA", at positions 527 to 896 of the family's 1533-position model. The record is from RNAcentral.
GUACUGUGCAAACGUUAUUCGGGAAUCACUGGGGCUUAAAGGGGUGCGUAGGCGGCUAGCUAAGUAGGGGGGUGUGAAAUGCCUCGACUCAACCGAGGGAACUGCGCUCUAAACUGGUUAGCUUGAGUGAGAUAGGGGUGUGCGGAACUUCCAGUGGAGCGGUGAAAUGUGUUGAUAUUGGAAGGAACGCCGGUGGCGAAAGCGGCACACUGGGUCUCAACUGACGCUGAGGCACGAAAGCCAGGGUAGCGAACGGGAUUAGAUACCCCGGUAGUCCUGGCUGUAAACGAUGAGCACUAGAUGGGAGGGACUUCGGUCCAUCCGGUCGCAGCGAAAGCAUUAAGUGCUCCGCCUGGGGAGUAUGGUCGCAAAGGCUG